RNAcentral lists this ribosomal RNA (478 nucleotides) under uncultured bacterium. Its description in RNAcentral is "partial 16S ribosomal RNA". It matches the Rfam family "Bacterial small subunit ribosomal RNA", at positions 28 to 523 of the family's 1533-position model. The record is from RNAcentral.
GACGAACGCUGGCGGCGUGCUUAACACAUGCAAGUCGAACGGUAAGGCCCUUCGGGGUACACGAGUGGCGAACGGGUGAGUAACACGUGGGUGAUCUGCCCUGCACUUCGGGAUAAGCCUGGGAAACUGGGUCUAAUACCGGAUAGGACUCCGGACUGCAUGGUCUGGGGUGGAAAGCUUUUGCGGUGUGGGAUGGGCCCGCGGCCUAUCAGCUUGUUGGUGGGGUGAUGGCCUACCAAGGCGACGACGGGUAGCCGGCCUGAGAGGGUGACCGGCCACACGGGGACUGAGAUACGGCCCAGACUCCUGCGGGAGGCAGCAGUGGGGAAUAUUGCACAAUGGGCGCAAGCCUGAUGCAGCGACGCCGCGUGAGGGAUGACGGCCUUCGGGUUGUAAACCUCUUUCAGCAUCGACGAAGCGAAAGUGACGGUAGGUGCAGAAGAAGGACCGGCCAACUACGUGCCAGCAGCCGCCGUAA